AAAGGGAAAAGGGUGUGUGAUGUUGGGAGCUGGCCUUCUUGAUGUCACAGGCAGUAAGGGCAUGCCUCCUGUAACCACCUCUGUGUUUUUCAGGCGUGCAUGGCUGUGCCUCAGCGAAUUGCUGAACAGACCAACUUAGCCAAACAAUCAAGUCUGUUCAGAGGAGGACAUUAAUGGGAAGUGAGUGGGCAUGUAAUCGUAUAGUCAGAACAAUAAGUUGGAAGAGCUUUGCUUUUGCUUUUCUCCAAUUGUUGUUUUCACAGUCCGCCUGGCACAGAAGCUGGCUCAGGGUCAACUGCCAGCUUGGAAUGGUGGCUGAUCCGAGCACGAGACUCUGAGGCGUCAGACCAGGGUUCAGGAGUAGAGAGGGCCCUGCCCUCAGAGAGUUCCCAGCCCAGUGGAGAAGUCUGGCAGGGUCAGUGACUUCCUGGGGUCUCUUCUCAGGGCAGGAAGAGAUCAUGCCCUGCCCCUGGAUAAGGGGUGGAUGAGGAGGAAAGUUUUCUGUAAGGAAACUGACUUGAGGGCUUGAUAGAGGCUGGAGGGGCAAAGGAGAGGAGAGAUUGGGGUAUUCCAGGUGAAAAAAAUCAGAGUGGGCAAAGGCAUGUGUGUGUGUGUGUGUGUGUGUGUGUUAUGUAGGGAAGACCAGGGAGAGG
This 653-nucleotide long non-coding RNA is filed under the name Neogale vison (American mink). Its description in RNAcentral is "Neovison vison (American mink) lncRNA (ENSNVIG00000016656.1)". The record is from RNAcentral. Lineage: Eukaryota; Metazoa; Chordata; Mammalia; Carnivora; Mustelidae.